ACGACUCUCGGCAACGGAUAUCUCGGCUCUCGCAUGGAUGAAGAACGUAGCGAAAUGCGAUACCUGGUGUGAAUUGCAGAAUCCCGCGAACCAUCGAGUCUUUGAACGCAAGUUGCGCCCGAGGCCACUCGGCCGAGGGCACGCCUGCCUGGGCGUCACGC
RNAcentral lists this ribosomal RNA (161 nucleotides) under Hordeum intercedens. Its description in RNAcentral is "5.8S ribosomal RNA". It matches the Rfam family "5.8S ribosomal RNA". Rfam says of the family: 5.8S ribosomal RNA (5.8S rRNA) is a component of the large subunit of the eukaryotic ribosome. It is transcribed by RNA polymerase I as part of the 45S precursor that also contains 18S and 28S rRNA. The record is from RNAcentral. Lineage: Eukaryota; Viridiplantae; Streptophyta; Magnoliopsida; Poales; Poaceae.